GCGGUAGUAGCUCAGUGGUAGAGCUCCCGCUUCGCAUGAGGGGAGAGCUGGGUUCGACUCCCGACCGCU
Molecule: transfer RNA, 69 nt
Filed under: Toxocara canis (dog roundworm)
Lineage: Eukaryota; Metazoa; Nematoda; Chromadorea; Rhabditida; Toxocaridae
Rfam family: tRNA
About the family: Transfer RNA (tRNA) molecules are approximately 80 nucleotides in length.
Source: Rfam by way of RNAcentral